Molecule: long non-coding RNA, 907 nt
Filed under: Callithrix jacchus (white-tufted-ear marmoset)
Lineage: Eukaryota; Metazoa; Chordata; Mammalia; Primates; Cebidae
Description: lncRNA (ENSCJAG00000076377.1)
Source: RNAcentral
AAGAAAAAGAAAAAUAAGAGAGAAGCAAUCUAUUUUGUACCCAGAGAAUUUUACAUGCAGGGAAUUUGACGACGAAUGAGCCUCCUUUGCCUAAGAGAGACUUCACUAUUUGGAAUUUUGAGAAGAAGAAAAUACACAAACAAGCAAACGUCAUCAGCAGAGGGUUGGGAAACCUGUGUUUAUAAUACCCAGCGAUUAAUUUAAUAUUGCCUUAAGUCAUAGUUAAAAGGGACUUAGUUUAAAAGUCAUUUUGAUUGCUGGCUGACUCAGAGUCCUCAACAUUUCACCUUUUGCUUUAUGAAAAGAACUAGUAGAUUAACUUAAAGUUUGACAAGAAUUUCUCCUAACAUGGUACCAUCAGAGUACAGUCAGAAAGCGGAGUCAACUCAGAUUUCUCACCAUUGAGUCAAGUUGGGAGUAGAGGAUUUUCAUAUGGAAGGAUUGUUUGAGUUGCAAAACAUAACUAUGGCCUACACAUGUACACUCUCUGUGAACUGCACAGCUGGACAGAAGGAAGCUCCGAUGUGGCCCUGAUGCUCCCUGCUGCCCACAUCAAACUUGCAGGAAAAGAGUCUGGCCCUGGCUUUCCGGAGGGGAGGAAGAAGUCAGUUGCCAGGAGAAGGCUGCGGGCCUGGCCUCCUCAGCAGCAACUUGGCACCAAAUCCCUCAUGAAACUGUUAGAUGGCAUUGGUCGGCAGCACUGUGUAAAUAGGCUGUUGUGGAUUGGCCUGGGGACUUAGCCGCUGUAUAUAAAUGUUAUUCAAGUGACUGUACAGCAUUGUUUCCAUGAAGAAAAGCCCUCGGAGCUCAGAGCAUCUGACCAAACGUGACCUUUGGGAAAGUCCUCUUGGUGUUCUGGGGGCGACCUCUGUGGGUUUGGCUCCAGCUGCAGAGAGAGCGCCAGAGA